Molecule: ribosomal RNA, 464 nt
Filed under: uncultured bacterium
Lineage: Bacteria
Description: partial 16S ribosomal RNA
Rfam family: Bacterial small subunit ribosomal RNA
Source: RNAcentral
GACGAACGCUGGCGGCGUGCUUAACACAUGCAAGUCGAACGGUAAGGCCCUUUCGGGGGUACACGAGUGGCGAACGGGUGCGUAACACGUGGGUGAUCUGCCCUUCACUUUGGGAUAAGCCUGGGAAACUGGGUCUAAUACCGGAUAGGAAUACGCGAUGCAUGUCGUGUGGUGGAAAGCUUUUGCGGUGUGGGAUGGGCCCGCGGCCUAUCAGCUUGUUGGUGGGGUGAUGGCCUACCAAGGCGACGACGGGUAGCCGGCCUGAGAGGGUGUCCGGCCACACUGGGACUGGAAUACGGCCCAACCUCCUACGGGAGGAAGCAGUGGGGAAUAUUGCACAAUGGGCGCAACCCUGAUGCAGCGACGCCGCGUGGGGGAUGACGGCCUUCGGGUUGUAAACCCCUUUCAGCACAGACGAAGCGUAAGUGACGGUAUGUGCAGAAGAAGCACCGGCUAACUACGUG